CCUGAACAGUCGAACACGCACCUGCUGUUUCAGCAGGAAGGGUAGAAGCCUGUGGUCCACGAUCCUGAACGACUCCUGGGCUUGUGAUGGACGCAUUUCAUUGGCUUGUGAUGGACGCAUUUCAUUGGCUUGUGAUGGACGCAUUUCACUGGCUUGCGACGGACGCAUUUCAUUGGCUUGUGAUGGAUGCAUUUCACUGGCUUGUGAUGGAUGCUUUUUGUUCCGCAAGUGGGACUUGCACACGUGGGAGCGGCUCACCCACCCCAUGCCUCCGUCUGCCGCGUGUGUGGCCCCAAGCCGAGGACCCACAAAGCCGUGCACCACCUCCUGACGUGGCUCUGGAUGACCAGCCUGGGAGGGGAGCUGGAGAGCCCUGCUGCCUGCGGUGGACUGUCCCGGAGAAGCCACGGUGACGACAGGAAGAGAUGUAACAGCUGAUGUGCACGAAGCCUCUACUGGCACAAGUCACCGUGCGUGCUGCUCACAGCAGCCCCGUAAGGGACCUGGACUACUAGUACACCCAUUUUACAGGCGGGGAAAUGGAGGCACAGAAAGGUUGGGUAACUUGCCCACGUUCACAUGGCCAGUAGGGCUGGAGCUGGGAUUUGAACCCAGUUUCUACUCUUGAGAGCUACUCAAAAUCCGCCUUCAGAGAGGGGGCGUGAUGAGAGGGAUCUGGAGAAGCUAUGAGGCUGGAGGGGACCUUGAGCCCGCCCCAGGGUUUGCUGGGGUGGAAGCACGGCCCUGCUCCCUCCUGCGGCCCCGCCCCUCCCUGCGGCCCCGCCCCCUCCCUGCGGCCCUGCCCCCUCCCUGCAGCCCCUCCUUCCCAUGUGGUCCGAGUGAGGGGAGGACGUGGCUCCGGUCCCAGUCCUCCACCCGGCCUGUGCUGGGCGCCCCCAAACCACCGGCCUUCUCAUCCCUAAAGGGGGCCGAGAAUAGCAGCCGGGCGCCUCUCCAGGCUGUCACGAGGAUGGGAUCAGAUAUAGGUGUGGAAGCCCCAGGAAAGCCCAGCUCUCCUGCUCCAGCCGCUUGGCCGCCAAGAGGGGUCUGGCUCCCUGUGCCAAGCCACACCUCCCCCCCACCCCCUAUCUCCCCACCCCCGCCAUGGUCGGACCCCGAAAGGUGGCAGGACUGGACACAUUCUCUCUGUUGAAGGCUCUGGCCUGCCUGGGUCGCUGUCCUAGGAUCUCUCAGAGGUCAGGCAGGUGCCAGGAGGGGAGAGUCCCCUGCCUAUCCCCAGCCGUGCACAGGAGCAGGGCCCUCCCCAAGGCUUCCCUAUGUCCCUAUGCCUUGAAUCUCAUCCUGAAAACAAGGACCUCGGACCUGCCGACCUGCCAGGUUUCUUCCAUCUUCAAGAUUCUAUCCUCCCGCUGAACCGAGGACCCCUGCGUGGCUGCUCCUCCCAGCCCCCCGCCAGAGGCCCCAACUCUUGCUCUUCCUUCUCGAAGGCAGAAGGUGCCGUUGAUGGAACCUCCUUUUCUGGGGAUCGAGGCCCUGUUGUCCCCAGAAGCUGGGGCGCUAUUGUGCAGAGGGGUGGCGUUGAUAGGUGUGACGGUCCUGGGACUGAGCCCCUCUUGGCAGAAAGAGAGCCUUACACAGGGGCCAGCAAAGAGGGUUCAGACUUGGGAAGGCGGAUGUCAGGGACAGAAUUCUCCAGAAUGGCGCCAUCCAGUAGAGACUGUAGGCAGGCUGUGAACCGGAGCUGCUGGUUUGAUGUCACAUUAUAAGAAAAGAACAAACGGGCGAAGUUUAUUAUUAUUAUUAUUAUUUACUAUUAUUAUUAUUUUUAAGGGCCGCACCUGCAGCAGGUGGAGGUUCCCAGGCGAGGGGUCAAAUUGGAGCUGGAGCUGCCGGCCUACACCACAGCCAUGGCAACCCCAGAUCUGAGCCACAUCUGUGACCUACACCGCAGUUCUUGGCGAUGCCGGCUCCUUAACCCACUUCCAAGAGCGGCCAGGAAUUGCACCUACAUCCUCAUGGGUACUAUUCGGGAGCCACAAAGGGAGCUCCCAGGUGAAGUUUAUAUUAAUAAUAUAUUUCAUUAUCUCGAUACCUGCAAAUGUGAUCAUUUCAACACGUAAAUCCGUUUAACAUUCCGAGUGAGAUACUUUUCGCUCUUUGUUCACAGAAGACCUUUGAAACCCAGCACAUCUCAUUGUGGACCAGCCACAUCCCAUGUGCUCCAUGGCCAUGGGUGGUGUGGUCGCCCUGGUGGACGGCACAGCUCUGGGGAUGGAGAUGGAUUUGAGACCCACCCGUACUGCCAGCCGGCCAUGCCACUUAGACUUAAGGGAUGCCAGGCUCUAUUCCAAGAGCUUUCGGUGUAGUAACUCACGCAAUCAUCGUUUCCGUUUUUUUGGUUGACGAAAUGGAGAUCCAGAGAGGUUAAGUAAUUUGCCCAAGAUCACACAGCUAUUGAGAGGUGGAGCUGGGUUCUGAACCCUGAGUUUUAUUUGCUAGAGUGCUUUAUAAACGGUUACACAAAGCCUGAUCAUCAAUCAAUCAGUGAGUCAAUUCUUAGAGCAGCUCCCCUGGAACGGGGCUGAGCUGUGGAAGGGCUCUGUGCUCUGGGGAUUCGCUGCAGUUCUGAAGACGCUCAUUGGCUGCCUGCAUCGUGCCAGCUAAAGAGCAGCCUGGGGCAGAACUGGCUUUUUCUCCCAGGACCAGCUUUUCUUCGCUUUCCCACGGAGCCCCCUCCCGCUGUCAGGUGUCCACCCAGGGCCCCAGUGGGCUGGGCUCCCCCACCCCAGCCUCGCCCCGAGAGCUGGCAGGUUCAGGCUGAGACCUGUGGCAGCCUGGGCAUUCCUGCAGGUGGGGGAGGCUGGGCCCGCGUCCACGGAUGAAGUCUUGCUGCCCCGCCCGCCCUGUCGCCGGCUGGGACUUCUGCCUGGGAAUCUAUAGGAUGCUCCCUCAGCUCUGGGGCCUCCUGGGCCCCUGCAAGCAGGUGUGGGUCUCAGCAGCCGAGAUACCUCUUGGUCUGGGUUUGGUCCCUUCUUCUCCCACCCACUGAAAAACCAGUGACAAUGAUUUUUUUUUAAAUUUUUAUUUUAUUUUAUUUUUUUAGUUUUACCGAAUGUAGAAGUGAGUUGGGGCGCUCACUGGAUUCGUACACAGGUCUACACCACGGAACUACACGAGGUCAAAGUCUUGGACUGCUGCAGCCCCAGCAAGGCUGCCCUGUUUCCUCUCCCAGGCAGUCCCCUCGGCCCCCGCCUGAUCGCUGUCCCCUCCAUGUGUUAGUCCUGCCCAUCUCUGAACACCGUAAAAAUGGACUCAUUUAGUGUGUCUCAUGUCUCUUGAGCGGCAUCAUCUUUUGGGGAUUCAGCCGUAGCCACAGCUUGCUCUUGUCGGGAUAUCGCCGACUCUUAGCCCUUUCGAGGACUUCACUGCGGUUUGUCCACUCACCUGUUCGUGGACAUGGGACCUGCUCCUGGCCUUGGGCUGGACGUUAUUAACAGAACUUCUGCGAGGCUUCCUGUGGACCUUUGGUGGGAACACGCCCCGUUUCUCUUAGCCGGGAGCUGCCGGGCAGAGGGUCCCCCAGCUUUAACCUUGGGAAACGCGACCCCUCAGCCUCCCCAAGGGGUCUGCUUCCUUUUACUCUCCCAACAACAAGGCCUGAGGGUUGUGGUUGUCCACAUCCUUGCCUAGGUUUGGUAUCGUCUGUCUGUCUGUCUGUCUGUCUCUCUCUCUAUCUCUCUCUCUUGUCUUUUUAGGGCCGCACCUGCAGCAUAUGCAGGUUCCCAGGCCAGGAGUCCAAUUGGAGCUGUAGCUGCCAGCCUACACCACAACCAGAGCAAUGCCAGAUCCAAGCUGCGUCUGUGAGCUACACGGCAGCUCACGGCAAUGCGGGAUCCAUUCCCCCCCUGAGUGAGGCCAGGCAUUGAACCCGCAUCCUCACAGAUGCUAGUCAGGUUCGUUACCGCUGAGCCACAAAAGGAACUCCUCCAGCGGUAACGUCCUGAACGACACAUCGCCACCAGGAUGCUGACAUGGAUGCGGUCCGUUUACAGAGCACCCGUCACCACCAGGAUCCCUCAUGUUGCCUUUUCACCACCGCCCUGCCCCUCCUGUGCCACCCUCCUCCUCGAUUCCUGGCAGCCACUGUUGCCCCAAUCAGAACUGCAACAGAUUCACCAUCGGUCCUCCAUGCGAUAACUUUGUCAUUUCGAGAAUGUGAUAGAAAGAGAACAGUGCAGGAGCUUUUUUCCCACCCGGUGCACACCUUUGGGGGGGCAUCCAGUCUCUCUAGGCAUCAAUAAUUUGUUCCUUUCUACUGCAGAGUAGUGUUCCCUGGGAGUGGGUGGGCCAUGGUUGUUUCGCUGCUGCUUCUUUUUUUGGUUCAGGUUUUAAAUUUUAAAAAAAUUGAAGUAUAGUUGAUUUAUAGUGUUGUGUUAGUUUCAGGUGGACAACACAGUGAUUCAGUUACACAGAUAAAUAUUUGUAUAUAUAUUCUUUUUCAGAUUCCUUUCCUUUAUAGGUUAUUACAAAAUAUCAAAUAUUGUUUCCAGGUUGUUUCCUUCUUUACUGUUAAGUUUUAAGAGUUUUUUUUUUAAUUUUUAUUUUUUAAUAUAUAUCCAGGAGUUCCCUGGUGAUACAGCAGCAGGUUAGGGAUCCAGUGUUGUCACUGCUGUGGGCCCCGGGUUUGAUCCCUGGCCCCGAAAACUUCUGCAUGCCACGGACAUGUCCUAUAUAUAUAUACUAGACACGUGUCCUUUGUCAGAUAUAUAGUUUCUUUAAAACCAGUUUAUAGCUUGUCUUUUCGUCCUCUUAACAGGAUUUUUGGCAGAGCCACCGUGUUUAGUCUUGUUGCUGCCCAGUGCACCAUGUGCUCCUUUUAUGGUUGGUGCUUUGGGUUCAAAUCUAAGAACUUCUUGUCCAGCUCAAGAUCCUAAAGAGCUUCUCUCCUGCUUUUUUAAAAAGUUUGAUAAUUCUACUUGUUAUACUUUUAUGUGAUCCAUUACAAGUUGAAUAUUGUAAAAGAUGUGGAAGUUUUUUUAUUUUUAUGUUUGCUUUUCUAGGGCCGUAUCCGUGGCACAUGGAAGUUCCCAGGUUAGGGAUCGAAUCGGAGCUACCGCUGCCGGCCUACACCACAGCCACAGCAAACUCAGGAUCCGAGGCGCAUCUGCCACCUACACCACAGCUCACAGCAACGCGGGAUCCCUGACCCACUGAGUGAGGCCAGAGAUUGGACCCGCAUCCUCAUGGAUACUUGUCAGAUUCACUUCUGCUGUGCCACAGUGGGAACUCCAAAGAUGUGGAACUUAAGCCAGAGCUGUGUAGUUGCUCCGGCAUCAUUUGUGAGAAGUGCUACCUUGCCUCCCCCAAAUUGCCUUCGAACCACUGUCAAAAAUUAGCGGGGCGUAUUUGUACGGGUAUGUUUCUGGUUUCUUGGUUCUGCUCCAUGGAUCCUUGUGCCUACCCCUCUGUCAGCACGACAUGGUUUUUGGUUGUUGUAUCUAUUAUAGGUCUUGAGAUCGGGUAAACUGAUGUCUCCCAUUUUAUCUGUCUCUUUCAAAAUUGUUUCAGCGAUGCUACUUCCUUUUUCUUUCUCUAUACGCUUUGGAACAAUCUUGUCUAUGCCUACACCGUUCUUACUAGGAUUUCGAUAGCAAUCUCUGUAUGUCACUCAAUACCGUUAUACCAGUGAAUUAGAACGGACGUCUUUAUUACGUUGACUCUUCCAAUCAUGAACGUGGCUGUGCAUCUCCACUCAGUCAUCUCGUCCUUGAUGUCCCAUCAGAGCUGUGACGCUUUCAACCUCUAAGUCCCUACAUGUUUUGUUAGAUUUAACCUAAGUAUUUUUUUUAAUUUAUUUUUGGCUGUGCCUGCAGCAUGUGGAUGUUCCUGGGCCCGGGACUGGGCAGUCACCACCGCAGUGACCCAGGCUGCUGCGGUGAUAACACACCAGAUCCCCACCCCACGGAGCCAUCAAAGAACUCUAGUAUUUCCUUUUUGAAAACGUUUGCAUGUUUAUCUUGUAUCCAGUGAUGUGGCUGCUCUUGCUUAUUAGUCCUAGGAAUCAUUUUCUUAAUAUUUAACUUUGAUUCCUUUAUUUAUCCAUAAAAUACUUUGAUUUUUUGGUGUAGAUUCCUUGGGCCUUUUGACACAGACAAUCAUGCCAUCUGCUUUAGGACGAGUUGUUUCUCUCUUCCUCCGUGUGGCUUUCAUUGCCUUCUCUUGCCUUGCACUGGCCAUAACUUCCAGCACUAUAUCAAGUAGGAGUGAUGAGAGCGGACUUCCUUUUCCCAAUCUUGGAAGGAAAACAUUCACUCUUUUACCAUUAAGGCUUACGUUAGUUAAGGUUUUUUAGAUGUUCUUUAUCAAGUUGAGAAAGGUCCUCUCUGGUCCUGCUUAUUUCAGAGUUUUUACCAUGACCUCAUGCGGAAUGUUGACAGAUGCUUUUUGUAGAUUGAGUAACACAGUCGUGUGAUUUUUCUUUAGCUUACUACUCUGCUGGACUAUAUUGAUUAAUUUUGAGCCUUCAGCAAGCCUUGCAUUGCUGAAAUAAACCUCAUUUGGUCCUCGUGUUUAAUUCACAUGACGUAUUGAUGAAUUAUACUUGCUAAUAGCUUUUAAGGGAUUUUUGUGUCUGUAUUCAUCAGAGAUAUUGGUCUGCAAUCUCCUUUUCUCUUUCCUGUUCUUUCUUUUCUUCUGCUUUUGUCGAGUUUUGGUAUCAGCAUAAAACUAGCUUCAUAAGAUGAACUGGGGAGUUCCCAUUGUGGCUCAGUGGUUAACGAAUCCGACUAGGAACCAUGAGGUUGCGGGUUCGAUCCCUGCCCUUGCUCAGUGGGUUAGGGAUCCGGUGUUGCCGUUAACUGUGGUGUGGGUCGCAGACGCAGCUUGGAUCCUGCGUUUCUAUGGCUCUGGUGUAGGCC
RNAcentral lists this long non-coding RNA (6878 nucleotides) under Sus scrofa (pig). Its description in RNAcentral is "lncRNA (ENSSSCG00050031801.1)". The record is from RNAcentral. Lineage: Eukaryota; Metazoa; Chordata; Mammalia; Artiodactyla; Suidae.